GUUUGUAAUACGCAGUCUUCUUGGCCAUGAGCUCUUCAUGCGUGCCUUUCUCGAUCACAACCCCCUGGGACAUGACAGCUAUGAUAUCGGCGUUUUGGAUGGUGGACAGCCUGUGCGCUAUCACAAUACAGGGCAGACGUAGCUUCAUCCAGCAGCAAGAUCUUGGGGUUUCUGACGAUGGCCCGGGCGAUGGCGAUGCGCUGCUUCUGCCCCCGGGACAGCUGGGAGCCCUGAGCACCAACCUGCGUCUCAUAUUUCUGCCAAGGAAAAGUGGACAAAUUUAAUCAGGGAUUAACAUGUAGCCCAAAAUAAUGAGUUUGCAAUUAGUUGCUGCUACAGUGAUACGGUGCUCAUGGAAAAUCUUGGGAUGCUUGCUUAAUUCUGUAAAAAUGUUGCAAAUUUAAUGGUUUCAUAACAAAAGUGUCACGCCCUGCUCGUCCGAUCCUCGUAUGUGCCACGCCCCCUGAUUAUCCACGUGCGAUUCCCUGAUCUUGCCCAGCUGUGUUCGAUUCAUUUUCGCCCAGUCCUGUAUAUUUCAGUCCAUGUCUUGCCUUGGUUUUGGUCCGUCAUUGAUGUUAGUCGAUGUCAGAUGUUUCCUGGACCCCGUACCUUGAAUAAAUCCUCAUUUUUUC
Brienomyrus brachyistius is the source of this 632-nucleotide long non-coding RNA. RefSeq lists it as uncharacterized. The record is from RefSeq and is a predicted model, not a curated record. Lineage: Eukaryota; Metazoa; Chordata; Actinopteri; Osteoglossiformes; Mormyridae. The transcript has 2 exons.